This 461-nucleotide ribosomal RNA is filed under the name uncultured bacterium. RNAcentral describes it as "bacterial SSU rRNA". It matches the Rfam family "Bacterial small subunit ribosomal RNA", at positions 28 to 490 of the family's 1533-position model. The record is from RNAcentral.
GAUGAACGCUGGCGGCGUGCUUAACACAUGCAAGUCGAACGGGAAACCUUUUAUUGAAGCUUCGGCAGAUUUAGCUGGUUUCUAGUGGCGGACGGGUGAGUAACGCGUGGGUAACCUGCCUUGUACAGGGGGAUAACAGUCAGAAAUGACUGCUAAUACCGCAUAAGCGCACAGGACCGCAUGGUCCGGUGUGAAAAACUCCGGUGGUAUAAGAUGGACCCGCGUUGGAUUAGCUUGUUGGUGGGGUAACGGCCCACCAAGGCGACGAUCCAUAGCCGGCCUGAGAGGGUGAACGGCCACAUUGGGACUGAGACACGGCCCAGACUCCUACGGGAGGCAGCAGUGGGGAAUAUUGCACAAUGGGGGAAACCCUGAUGCAGCGACGCCGCGUGAAGGAAGAAGUAUCUCGGUAUGUAAACUUCUAUCAGCAGGGAAGAAAAUGACGGUACCUGACUAAGAAG